RNAcentral lists this ribosomal RNA (578 nucleotides) under uncultured bacterium. RNAcentral's name for it is "partial 16S ribosomal RNA". It matches the Rfam family "Bacterial small subunit ribosomal RNA", at positions 355 to 932 of the family's 1533-position model. The record is from RNAcentral.
UGGGGAAUUUUGGACAAUGGGCGAAAGCCUGAUCCAGCAAUGCCGCGUGUGUGAAGAAGGCCUUCGGGUUGUAAAGCACUUUUGUCCGGAAAGAAAUCCUUGGCUCUAAUACAGUCGGGGGAUGACGGUACCGGAAGAAUAAGCACCGGCUAACUACGUGCCAGCAGCCGCGGUAAUACGUAGGGUGCAAGCGUUAAUCGGAAUUACUGGGCGUAAAGCGUGCGCAGGCGGUUUGCUAAGACCGAUGUGAAAUCCCGGGCUCAACCUGGGAACUGCAUUGGUGACUGGCAGGCUAGAGUAUGGCAGAGGGGGGUAGAAUUCCAUGUGUAGCAGUGAAAUGCGUAGAGAUGUGGAGGAAUACCGAUGGCGAAGGCAGCCCCCUGGGCCAAUACUGACGCUCAUGCACGAAAGCGUGGGGAGCAAACAGGAUUAGAUACCCUGGUAGUCCACGCCCUAAACGAUGUCAACUAGUUGUUGGGGAUUCAUUUCCUUAGUAACGUAGCUAACGCGUGAAGUUGACCGCCUGGGGAGUACGGUCGCAAGAUUAAAACUCAAAUGAAUUGACGGGGUCAUAGCUG